This 673-nucleotide long non-coding RNA is filed under the name Brassica napus (rape). RNAcentral describes it as "long non-coding RNA (BNAP_LNC024474)". Lineage: Eukaryota; Viridiplantae; Streptophyta; Magnoliopsida; Brassicales; Brassicaceae. The record is from RNAcentral.
UGAUGGUUGAUUGGUGAGGACUUCUGUGGCUUAUCGGGAAAGUGUUCCCUUGUAUCAUAUUUUAUUGUUGGUUUGUUUCCGGCCAAGUGUGGCCGUGUUUUUAUGUAGUGGGACUGGCCGUGUGUUGCUUUGAAUCCCUGCCGUUUACCGGCCUUUGUGUAAUUCGUACUCUUUAUAAGAAAAAGGUUUCGAGAAUGUUUGGGUUUUUGUUAAGUGUAGGAGAAGGAUUCGAGUUGUCAUCUCGCUCCUUAUCCUUUUUGUGGAUCGUCCUGUUUGUUGCUCGUCUGAGAUGUUUAUGAAAUUCUCAAAUUUUCGAGGGCGUUUAGAUGUGGACGAAGAGACAUGGUUUCAGGAUCUCGUAUCUUUUCGAUAUCAUGCACUGAGACGUUAGAGACCAGUGUGUUGGGUUUAGGGUAAGACCUUGGUCUAAUCACGGCUUUAGGGGGUGCGAUGACUACUUCAACUUACAUUUCCCGUAUUGUUUUCGACCUGAUUCUGUCCGCUUUAAAGUCCGCGAUAUGUUUUCGGCUUAUGCGAUUUGUAUGGUAGGAAUUGAGCAUCUCUUCGAGGACAAUUUUUAAGUCUCCUAAAAGUGCUGACCAAAAUUUCAUAUUUCUUUUAUAGCGCGUUAUUUUAUCCUAGUCGGAUGUAAGAGGACAUAUCCUUAGGAUAA